UACAGAGGGUGCAAGCGUUGUUCGGAAUUACUGGGCGUAAAGCGCGUGUAGGCUGCGGAAUAAGUCGGAUGUGAAAGCCCUCAGCUUAACUGAGGAAGUGCAUCCGAUACUGUCUCGCUUGAGUGUCGGAGGGGAUGGCGGAAUUCCCGGUGUAGAGGUGAAAUUCGUAGAUAUCGGGAGGAACACCUGUGGCGAAGGCGGCCAUCUGGACGACGACUGACGCUGAGACGCGAAAGCGUGGGUAGCAAACAGG
This 253-nucleotide ribosomal RNA is filed under the name uncultured bacterium. Its description in RNAcentral is "partial 16S ribosomal RNA". It matches the Rfam family "Bacterial small subunit ribosomal RNA", at positions 524 to 776 of the family's 1533-position model. The record is from RNAcentral.